Molecule: ribosomal RNA, 272 nt
Filed under: uncultured prokaryote
Description: partial 16S ribosomal RNA
Rfam family: Bacterial small subunit ribosomal RNA
Source: RNAcentral
UACGUAGGGGCGAGCGUUGUCCGGAUUUACUGGGCGUAAAGGGAGCGUAGGCGGACUUUUAAGUUGAGAUGUGAAAUACCCGGGCUCAACUUGGGUGCUGCAUUUCAAACUGGAAGUCUAGAGUGCAGGAGAGGAGAAUGGAAUUCCUAGUGUAGCGGUGAAAUGCGUAGAGAUUAGGAAGAACACCAGUGGCGAAGGCGAUUCUCUGGACUGUAACUGACGCUGAGGCUCGAAAGCGUGGGGAGCAAACAGGAUUAGAUACCCCCUGUAGU